AUUGGCUAAAUUUGUGCCAGCAGCUGCGGUUAAACAAAAGAUACAAAUAAAUUUUGUAAAUUUAAAGUUAAAUUGGUUAUAUUUAAUUAAUAAAAAAAUUUUAGGUGAAAUUUUAUUUUUUUUUAAUUAAUAAAAUAAAAAAUAUUGAAACUUAAAAAUUUUAUUUUUAAACUAGGAUUAGAUACCCUAUUAUUUAAUAAUGUAAAAUAAAAUAUUAGAGUAGUAAUAGUUAUGGUCUUGAAACUCAAAAAAUUUGGCGGUAUUUUAGUCUAUUCAGAGGAACCUGUAAUAUAAUCGAUAAUCCACGAUGAACCUCACUUAAUUUAUAAUUUAAUUUGUAUAUCGCUGUUAUUUGAAAAUUUUAUAAGAAUAAUAAUUUUCUGAAAUUUUUAUUAAAAAAUAAAUCAAGUCAAGAUGCAGUUUAUAGUUAAGAAUUAUAUGGGUUACAAUAAAUUUAUUUAUACGGAAUAUAAAUUGAAAUAAUUUUAAAUAAGGUGGAUUUGAAAGUAAAUUUUUAAAGAUAAAAAAGUUGAUUUUAGCUCUAAAAUAUGCACAUAUCGCCCGUCGCUCUUGUUAAUAAUAUAAGAUAAGUCGUAACAUA
This 601-nucleotide ribosomal RNA is filed under the name Campsicnemus sp. 12 KRG-2014. RNAcentral's name for it is "partial 12S ribosomal RNA". Lineage: Eukaryota; Metazoa; Arthropoda; Insecta; Diptera; Dolichopodidae. The record is from RNAcentral.